UCAGAUGCUGCAGGUGAUCUCAGGAGAGUACUGACAGGGUAUUGGUGGACAUCAAGAGCAUCUGCCACAAUAUUUUAAUUAGUUAAAACAUUUUAAAGAAAACUGUCUUUCCUGCUGAAGCAAGACUUGAGAACUAUAUAUCCCUUGCUGUCCUAUUGACUGGCCCGGAAGACAGUUUCAUUAAGUGCCUGGCAAGAUAAUAUUACCAAGAAUGUGGAACAAUGGGAACCCUCAUACACUGCUGGAUGCUAGUUCUAAGAUAUAUUUUGUGGCAACAACAACAAAAAAGCUGUGUUGUCAGAUUAGUUUGGGGACCCUAGAUUAAACAACAAUAAGAGG
Long non-coding RNA from Myotis daubentonii (Daubenton's bat), 339 nucleotides. RefSeq lists it as uncharacterized. Lineage: Eukaryota; Metazoa; Chordata; Mammalia; Chiroptera; Vespertilionidae. The record is from RefSeq and is a predicted model, not a curated record.